CCCGUCCCAAUACCAAAUUUUGUUACAUGAAAGUCUCAGAUGUCAUUGCCCACAACUUGAAGGGCUUGUUUCGCCAAUUUAAAUAAUAAUUCUAACCCACUACCCAGCGAUGUGGGACCCAUCCUCUUUCUUCCCUUCCAGAGAAAAACACCAGAGCAAUUAACCUCACUUGUUUAAUCACCCGACCCGACCCGACCCGACGCGACGAAUGAAGAACGAACGAAAAUCCCUUUCUUCCUUAUAUCUUACAACCAAUCAUUCAAUCAAAAUCAUGAUUAAUUAGUUUUAAUUAUAAUAACCAGAAGCAAAAUGGCGUUCAGAAGCUGCAACCUAGGCUAGGGUUUGCUAAAUUACAUUACAGUGUGUUUUGUUGGUUUGCCUUAGGAAAAUUAUUGCAGGGCUUAACAUCCAACUUUUUUGGCCUCAUAUUAGAGUCAAGUCAGUCAACCCUUCAAUUACCCAACAUGCCUGUCCCUCCCAGAAUCGUGAGGUAUGUGUUUUUUGCAACUUGAAGCUGACAACCAUGUGUGGUAUUAAACCACCAGCAAUGGUGUUGUGUGCAUCCACGAGUGGUAGCAUUCAGUUUUAGUUCCCAGAAAUUGUCAUUAAGGAACAAUGAAGGAGAAUUAUGUUGAGAAUCUUUCCCAAUGGAGUAGUGACUCGCCAAGGAUGGAGUUGAAUGAGUUCUAAAGAUAAGCCUACCGGGACACAACCUUAAGAUAGGGUGGGUGUUAGCUAUGAUAUCUGAUCAGAUAGACUGGCUUUCUGAAUUAACAUCAGAUCUAGCUAUGUGAGUAUUUUGGUAAGUCUUGAUUACCUUAAUGACUUGGUUAAUAGACAAUAUAAUGCAAUUGGGAAUAAGCUGGUGUCAAAUUAGAAAAGCAGUGCAUAUAGAAUUUUGUAUUGGAGAAGCAUUUGAUUUGACAAAAAAAAAAGUCAAAAGUCAAUUUUGUUAGGAGAAGUGUAUAGCAGGUGAUAUGGUGUUGGAUUCGAUUCCCUAUUUGUAUAUGGUUGUUUAACAUUUUUAUGAACAGAUGAGUUAAUGACUAUUUCUGUUCAUUUCA
This is a long non-coding RNA of Erigeron canadensis, 1064 nucleotides long. RefSeq lists it as uncharacterized. Lineage: Eukaryota; Viridiplantae; Streptophyta; Magnoliopsida; Asterales; Asteraceae. The transcript is spliced from 4 exons. The record is from RefSeq and is a predicted model, not a curated record.